GAUGAAGAACGUAGCGAAAUGCGAUAAGUAAUGUGAAUUGCAGAAUUCAGUGAAUCAUCGAAUCUUUGAACGCACAUUGCGCCCGCCAGUAUUCUGGCGGGCAUGCCUGUUCGAGCGUCAUUUCAACCAUCAAGCCCCCGGGCUUGUGUUGGGGACCUGCGGCUGCCGCAGGCCCUGAAAAGCAGUGGCGGGCUCGCUGUCACACCGAGCGUAGUAGAUUUUAUCUCGCUCUGGGCGUGCUGCGGGUUCCGGCCGUUAAACCACCCUUUUAACCCAAGGUUGACCUCGGAUCAGGUAGGAAGACCCGCUGAACUUAAGCAUAUCAAUAAGCGGAGG
Molecule: unclassified non-coding RNA, 336 nt
Filed under: soil metagenome
Description: partial contains 5.8S ribosomal RNA, internal transcribed spacer 2, and large subunit ribosomal RNA
Rfam family: 5.8S ribosomal RNA (bases 1-120)
Source: RNAcentral